RNAcentral lists this ribosomal RNA (520 nucleotides) under uncultured Glomus. RNAcentral describes it as "SSU rRNA". It matches the Rfam family "Eukaryotic small subunit ribosomal RNA", at positions 569 to 1078 of the family's 1831-position model. Lineage: Eukaryota; Fungi; Glomeromycota; Glomeromycetes; Glomerales; Glomeraceae. The record is from RNAcentral.
AGCAGCCGCGGUAAUUCCAGCUCCAAUAGCGUAUAUUAAAGUUGUUGCAGUUAAAAAGCUCGUAGUUGAAUUUCGGGGUCAGUAGGUUGGUCAUGCCACUGGUAUGUACUGGUCUCACUGAUUCCUCCUUCCUGAUGAACUGUAAUGCCAUUAAUUUGGUGUUGCAGGGAAUCUGGACUGUUACUUUGAAAAAAUUAGAGUGUUUAAAGCAGGCUAACGCCUGAAUACAUUAGCAUGGAAUAAUGAAAUAGGACGUUCGAUCCUAUUUUGUUGGUUUCUAGGAUUGACGUAAUGAUUAAUAGGGAUAGUUGGGGGCAUUAGUAUUCAAAAUUGUCAGAGGUGAAAUUCUUGGAUUUAUUGAAGACUAACUACUGCGAAAGCAUUUGCCAAGGAUGUUUUCUAUUAAUACAAGAACGAAAGUUAAGGGGAGUCGAAGACGAUCAGAUACCGUCGUAGUCUUAACCAUAAACUAAUAGCCGACUAGGGAUCGGAUGAUGUUAAUUUUUUAAAUUAGUACUCU